RNAcentral lists this ribosomal RNA (423 nucleotides) under uncultured Methanolinea sp. Its description in RNAcentral is "bacterial SSU rRNA". It matches the Rfam family "Archaeal small subunit ribosomal RNA", at positions 321 to 748 of the family's 1478-position model. The record is from RNAcentral. Lineage: Archaea; Methanobacteriati; Methanobacteriota; Methanomicrobia; Methanomicrobiales; Methanoregulaceae.
UCCUACGGGGGGCUGCAGGCGCGAAAACUUUACAAUGCGAGAAAUCGUGAUAAGGGAACCCCGAGUGCCCGUAAAUUCGGGCUGUCCAUCAGUGUAAAUAACUGGUGAAGAAAGGGCCGGGCAAGACCGGUGCCAGCCGCCGCGGUAAUACCGGCGGCUCGAGUGGUGGCCACUAUUACUGGGCUUAAAGCGUCCGUAGCUGGAUUGUGAAGUCUCUUGGGAAAUCCACCGGCUCAACCGAUGGGCGUUCAGGAGAAACUGGCAAGCUAGGGACCGGGAGAGGUGAGAGGUACUCCAGGGGUAGGAGUGAAAUCCUGUAAUCCUUGGGGGACCACCUGUGGCGAAGGCGUCUCACUAGAACGGCUCCGACAGUGAGGGACGAAAGCUGGGGGAGCAAACCGGAUUAGAUACCCGGGUAGUCCC